RNAcentral lists this ribosomal RNA (1536 nucleotides) under Triticum aestivum (bread wheat). RNAcentral's name for it is "partial small subunit ribosomal RNA". The record is from RNAcentral. Lineage: Eukaryota; Viridiplantae; Streptophyta; Magnoliopsida; Poales; Poaceae.
AUGAGCGAAAGUCCUGGAGGUUCACAACAUCCUCGGAUCUCUCUUUACGCUGAUGAUGCUGCCAUCUUCAUUGCCCCUUCGGUGCAGGAUAUAUCCUGCCUGGCAAAUAUUCUUCAAGGCUUCGGGGAGGUUACGGGCAUGGUGACCAAUGUGGCUAAGAGCUCUAUUGCCCCAAUUCGCUGCUCCGAUGUUGACCUCACCGCAGUUCUGGCAAACUUCUCGGCGACUAUCACCCAGUUCCCUCUCAAGUAUUUGGGGUUGCCCUUGUCGCUUGGUAGACUCAGAAGGACCGACCUUCAGCCAUACAUUGAUAAAGCUGCGUCAAGGUUGAACCCUCUGAAAGGAAGAUUCCUAAAUCGGGCGGGGUGCUGCACUUAUGUGAAAUCUGUCCUUUCUUCCAUGCCGAUCUUCCUCCUCACCGCUAUCAAAGUGGAUAAAGGCUUCCUAAGGGCUAUGGCCAAGAUCUGUCGCGGUAUGCUAUGGGACUGCAAGGAAUCUGUCAGCGGUGGGAAAUGCAAGGUCAACUGGCAGAAGGUCUGCCGCCCUAAGGAGCUUGGUGGGUUGGGGAUCCUAGAUUUGGAAAGGUUCUCCCGCGCCCUUAGACUUCGCUGGCUUUGGGACGAAUGGAAGGCUCCUGAAAAACCUUGGGUAGGUUUUGAAACUCCUAACGAUGCCUCAGAUAGACAGCUCUUCAACGCCGCGACUCGUGUUACUAUCGGGGAUGGCAAGAAGGCCUCCUUUUGGUCUUCCUCAUGGCUUGACGGCAAGCCACCGAAAGAUAUGGCACCUCUGAUCUUCAAAGCUUCGAGGAGGAAAAACCGAACGGUCCAUGAUGCCCUUACUGAACAUACCUGGGUAGCGGAUAUUGCGGUGGAGGCCUUCACGGCAGAGCACAUUGGCCAGUUCGUCCAGCUAUGGGAUCUCAUCUCAGAUAUCCAGCUCUCCCCAGAUAUAGAAGAUUCCAUCAUCUGGACCCUCUCCCCAAAUGGAUGCUACUCUGCGAGCUCCGCCUAUAAGGCGCAGUUCAUGACCGCGCUGCCUUGCUCCUUCGGCUCGAUUGUCUGGAAAACGUGGGCGCCUCCCAAAUGCCGCUUCUUCGCUUGGCUCGCCGUCCAAAAUCGCCUCUGGACCGCGGAUCGCCUGGCCAAACGUGGAUGGCCACACCAGCCCUCCUGCCAGCUAUGCCGGUGCUCCCCUGAGACGGCGAGACACAUGCUCUUUGAAUGCCGUUACUCCAAGAGGAUCUGGUCCGCGGCGGCAUCCUGGCUCUCCUGCCCGGAAUUACUGCUUAACAUGGGCUCUGGUCGCCCCAAGGUGGUGGACUACUGGCAGGCCUUAGCUAGGUCGCCCUCUUCCUCUCCCAAAGGUCUAAAAACGGCUAUCAUGCUCAUCACCUGGGAAAUCUGGAAGGAAAGAAAUGAGAGAGUCUUCAACAAGAAAUCCUCUCUGCCGGUGGUGGUCAUGCACAAGAUAAGAGAGGUAGCAAAAGAUUGGAUUCUAGCGGGAGCAAAAAACCUGGCGGAUCUUGUGGGCUGA